CCUACGGGGGGCAGCAGUGGGGAAUUUUGGACAAUGGGCGAAAGCCUGAUCCAGCAAUGCCGCGUGCAGGACGAAGGCCUUCGGGUUGUAAACUGCUUUUGUACGGAACGAAACGGUCUCUUUUAAUACAGGGGGCUAAUGACGGUACCGUAAGAAUAAGCACCGGCUAACUACGUGCCAGCAGCCGCGGUAAUACGUAGGGUGCGAGCGUUAAUCGGAAUUACUGGGCGUAAAGCGUGCGCAGGCGGUUAUAUAAGACAGAUGUGAAAUCCCCGGGCUCAACCUGGGACCUGCAUUUGUGACUGUAUAGCUAGAGUACGGUAGAGGGGGAUGGAAUUCCGCGUGUAGCAGUGAAAUGCGUAGAUAUGCGGAGGAACACCGAUGGCGAAGGCAAUCCCCUGGACCUGUACUGACGCUCAUGCACGAAAGCGUGGGGAGCAAACAGGAUUAGAUACCCGGGUAGUC
RNAcentral lists this ribosomal RNA (465 nucleotides) under uncultured bacterium. RNAcentral describes it as "bacterial SSU rRNA". It matches the Rfam family "Bacterial small subunit ribosomal RNA", at positions 338 to 795 of the family's 1533-position model. The record is from RNAcentral.